RNAcentral lists this ribosomal RNA (465 nucleotides) under uncultured bacterium. RNAcentral's name for it is "partial 16S ribosomal RNA". It matches the Rfam family "Bacterial small subunit ribosomal RNA", at positions 28 to 507 of the family's 1533-position model. The record is from RNAcentral.
GACGAACGCUGGCGGCGUGCUUAACACAUGCAAGUCGAACGGAAAGGCCCUGCUUGCAGGGUACUCGAGUGGCGAACGGGUGAGUAACACGUGGGUGAUCUGCCCUGCACUUCGGGAUAAGCCUGGGAAACUGGGUCUAAUACCGGAUAGGAGCCAUUUUUAGUGUGAUGGUUGGAAAGUUUUUUCGGUGUAGGAUGAGCUCGCGGCCUAUCAGCUUGUUGGUGGGGUAAUGGCCUACCAAGGCGGCGACGGGUAGCCGGCCUGAGAGGGUGGACGGCCACAUUGGGACUGAGAUACGGCCCAGACUCCUACGGGAGGCAGCAGUGGGGAAUACUGCACAAUGGGCGCAAGCCUGAUGCAGCGACGCCGCGUGGGGGAGGACGGCCUUCGGGUUGUAAACUCCUUUCGCUAGGGACGAAGCUUUUUGUGACGGUACCUAGAUAAGAAGCACCGGCUAACUACGUG